CCUACGGGGGGCAGCAGUGGGGAAUAUUGCACAAUGGGGGAAACCCUGAUGCAGCGACGCCGCGUGAGUGAAGAAGUAUUUCGGUACGUAAAGCUCUAUCAGCCGGGAAGAAAAUGACGGUACCUGACUAAGAAGCCCCGGCUAACUACGUGCCAGCAGCCGCGGUAAUACGUAGGGGGCAAGCGUUACCCGGAUGUACUGGGUGUAAAGGGAGCGUAGACGGCUGCGCAAGUCUGGAGUGAAAUCCCAUGGCUUAACCAUGGAACUGCUUUGGAAACUGGGCAGCUAGAGUGCAGGAGAGGUAAGCGGAAUUCCUAGUGUAGCGGUGAAAUGCGUAGAUAUUAGGAGGAACACCAGUGGCGAAGGCGGCUUACUGGACUGUAACUGACGUUGAGGCUCGAAAGCGUGGGGAGCAAACAGGAUUAGAUACCCUGGUAGUC
RNAcentral lists this ribosomal RNA (440 nucleotides) under uncultured bacterium. RNAcentral describes it as "partial 16S ribosomal RNA". It matches the Rfam family "Bacterial small subunit ribosomal RNA", at positions 338 to 795 of the family's 1533-position model. The record is from RNAcentral.